This 1544-nucleotide ribosomal RNA is filed under the name metagenome. RNAcentral's name for it is "bacterial LSU rRNA". It matches the Rfam family "Bacterial large subunit ribosomal RNA", at positions 1299 to 2925 of the family's 2925-position model. The record is from RNAcentral.
GGAAUGAGUAGCGCGAAUGCAGUGAGAAUCUGCAUGGCCGAAAGCCUCAGGUUUUUGGAGGAAGGUUCGUCCGCUCCAAGUAAGUCGGGAGCUAAGGUCAGGCCGAAAGGCGUAGCCGAUGCACAUACGGUUGAUAUUCCGUAACCAUCUGUAAUUUAAGCAAAGGGACACUUCAAAAGGGUGUGACCCGGGCGUUGGUUGACCCGGGCGUAAGGGACCGAAAUUAGAGUAGGGAAGCACACUUGGCUGAAGGCGAGAAAAGCUUUGCGUAUAGAAACAGAUGCCCGUACCGCAAACCGACACAGGUGGACAGGAAGAGAAUUCUAAGGCCAGCGGGAGAAGGGUAGUUAAGGAACUCGGCAAAUUGACUCCGUAACUUCGGAAUAAGGAGUGCUCGAAAGAGCCGCAGAGAAUAGGCCCAGGCGACUGUUUAGCAAAAACACAGGUCUCUGCCAAAUCGAAAGAUGAAGUAUAGGGGCUGACACCUGCCCGGUGCCGGAAGGUUAAGAGGAGGAGUGAGAGCUCCGAAUUGAAGCCCCGGUAAACGGCGGCCGUAACUAUAACGGUCCUAAGGUAGCGAAAUUCCUUGUCGGGUAAGUUCCGACCCGCACGAAUGGUGUAACGAUCUGGGCACUGUCUCAACUACCCACCCGGCGAAAUUGUAGUACCGGUGAAGAUGCCGGUUACCUGCGGCAAGACGGAAAGACCCCAUGGAGCUUUACUGUAGCCUGAUAUUGGGUUUCGGAAAUCUAUGUACAGGAUAGGCGGGAGACUGGGAAACAUGAGCGUCAGCUUAUGUGGAGUCGAUGUUGGGAUACCGCCCUUAGGUUUCUGGAAUUCUAACCUGCGGCCGUGAAUCCGGUCGGGGGACAUUGUCAGGUGGGCAGUUUGACUGGGGCGGUCGCCUCCGAAAAGGUAACGGAGGCGCUCAAAGGUUAGCUCAGCACGGACGGAAACCGUGCCUCUGAGUGUAAACGCAAAAGCUAGCCUAACUGCGAGGGUGACGGCCCGAGCAGUAACGAAAGUUGGAGUUAGUGAUCCGGCGGUAUGUGAAUGGAAAUGCCGUCGCUCAACGGAUAAAAGCUACCCUGGGGAUAACAGGCUGAUCUCCCCCAAGAGUCCACAUCGACGGGGAGGUUUGGCACCUCGAUGUCGGCUCAUCGCAUCCUGGGGCUGAAUUCGGUCCCAAGGGUUGGGCUGUUCGCCCAUUAAAGCGGUACGCGAGCUGGGUUCAGAACGUCGUGAGACAGUUCGGUCCCUAUCUGUCGUGGGCGCAGGAUAUUUGAGGAGCUCUGUCCUUAGUACGAGAGGACCGGGAUGGACGUACCUCUGGUGCACCAGUUGUCAUGCCAAUGGCACGGCUGGGCAGCUAUGUACGGAACGGAUAAACGCUGAAAGCAUCUAAGCGUGAAGCCGACUCCAAGAUUAGAUAUCCCAUCGUAUAACGAGUAAGACCCCUUGAAGACUACGAGGUUGAUAGGCUGCGUGUGUAAGUGCCGUGAGGCAUUCAGCUUGGCAGUACUAAUAGGUCGAGGGCUUGACCA